CAAGAGCCUGACGUAGCACAGUCUCGGUCUGAACACACACACCCUCGAUACAAUCGACCACCACAAGCGCACCAUCGGUAAUACGGAGCGCAGCAGUGACCUCAGAGGAGAAGUCAACGUGGCCAGGAGAGUCGAUGAGAUUGAUAAGGUACUCGUUUCCAUCUCUGGCACCAGUGAAGCUCUUCAAGGAAGCAUCAGUCAUCUCGUAGUAGAGAGAGAUACCCGUGGACUUGAUAGUGAUACCACGUUCAGCCUCAUCAGCACGGGUAUCAGUCAUACGGACAUCACCAGCAACUUCUUGAGCAAUGAUACCAGCAGCAGCAACCAAGGAGUCAGUGAGUGUGGAUUUACCUGUCAAUCACAAGAUAUAUAAAAGCAUAAGAGACAAUAGAACAGAGUAGUAGGAAACUAAUUAAGUCUGAAAAUUAAAAAAAGACAGUACCAUGGUCGACAUGGGCAAUAACGGACAUGUUACGGAUGUUGUGUUUGUAAUCCAUAAUCCUCCGAAGCUCAUCGGAUGUGAACUUCACCUACAAGUUCAUUAAAAUAAACAAAUAUUUAAGCUUAGAAUCAACAAAAAUAACAACAACAACAAGGCAAAGUAAAAGAUAGUAUAAAAAAGUUAUAAGGCUUUACCAUUUUGACUAACUCUUAUUCUUCACCUACAAUAUCUCUGCAACCACAGAAACAAUAAUAAGAAUUAAUCAACUGAAAUGAAACGAUUUAAAAAAAAAAAUUAACACCAAAAUAAAAUCUCAUAAUCUUCUGAACUUGAAGCUUUUCAACACAGAAAAAUAGAAGAACAGCUCACAAUCAAAUGGUAUUUAUACAUUUCUACGAACAGAUCUAAAGAGACGAGACAGAACGAUAACCAAAAAUGAAAUUAACAACUAAGAGUCAAGGGGGAUUGGUUAAUCUAAACAUCGAAAGCUAAAACUAUGGAGAUUCAAUACGAAAACUAAGCAUCAACAAUCGGAGAUCGUAACAAGGAGGAGACGGACUAACAUUGGAGGGGAAGGAGAGAGAGAGACGAGCUUGAGAGAGCAGAGAUUGAGUGGAGGCGUUCGAUAUAUUCCCUUAUCUCUUCUAGGGUUUUCUCUCUGUUCUUUCGUGGGCCUCUUCGGCCCGAUACAAUAUUGGCCCAAUAGUGGCUAAUAUUUAAUAUUUUGGCCCAAUAUAGUUCGUGUAAGAUUUUGCUUUGAAGUUUUAUGGAAUUUGUUUUAGUUAUAAUGAGCAGUAUUACAAGUGAACAUAAUUUUGUACUAUUAUUUAAACUAAGACUUUAUGAUAGAUUUAUUAUAAAUAAACGGUUUGGAGGAAUCAAUGACGAAAUAUUAACUAUGUUUCCGGUAAUAUUCUAAACAAUAUUUGACAUAACAAUAUUAUUUUCUUUUAUUAUUAUUAUCUUUUAGACAUUAUAAUAUCGAUAUGUUGUGUAUCUGAUUCUGUAUAUGGAAUUUUAAAACCAUCCGAAUAUGUAAAGGCUUUUAAAUUACGGUUUAUCAUAUUCAAGCUUUACGCUAUUCACAACAUUCCAGUGGAAUCAAACAAACAAAAGAUUAACAAUUUAUCUUAUUAUUAAAAAAAAAUCUCCCAAAUGUAGUUUCCAAUUUACUGCUUUGCUCCACGCAUUGACGCUUCAUUUGUUCAACAACUUCAAAACCAGACUGGCAAACCCCAAAGCAACUUAUACAGAACAAUAUAAUCUCCAUUAACUUGGAGAACCGUGACAUCAUUAUUACAUACAAAAGGUUGAUCAUCAUCAGUCACUAGGAAGACUUAAACAUCAGUCGUGACUGCGAAUUAACCCUUGCGGCCUGAUUUCUCUCCUACAAGCUUCGUCUGGAUUGAAAUCAAAAGAAAAAUGGUGUAAUCAGAAAAAAUUAAAUACAAUUAUUCACAGGACGUGGGUGAAUAAGAUGCAACAGAAAAUCCAAAACCUUGUAGUUAUUUUUUCUUGACAUCAAAUCCCAUAGGUGCUGAUGCGGCCUCUAUUUUUGUGACUAUCUCAUUAGCCGGACAUUUUGAAGUAAACUGAGUUUUCCGUUUGACAAGCCCCUGAAAUUAAGCACUGAUUAUCGAAGGGAAAUAAAAAUUGUGAAAUUGGUAUUAUGAUGAACUACUUAUACCACUACUUAAAUUUUGCCUUACUUAGCAGUUUAAAGUACUUUUUGUGGAUUACGAUCCACAUUAAUCAAAUCUUAUCAUUUCAAGCAUUUUAAAUAUAUCAUAUAAUCUAAAAAAUUAUUUUAUUCUGAUUAUUUUUGAAUAAUCACAAAUAAUAAAUAGUAAAAAUUUGAUGUUAUUGGAAGAAUAUCAAGAACCACUGGAACCUUAGCAAUUAAUCUAAAUUUGUAAUGUUGGUAUACAUUCAAAACAUGGUUGAUUGUUUCUUUUGCUGCACACCUUACAUAUUAUGUAUAACACUUAUUCUCAUUAGAUUUGAUAUAACUGUAUUACAAUCCAACAUUAUUUGUCCAAUAAUCUGUCAUCAUUUUGGUGGCACUUGAAUUUCCAAAGAGUGUGGCUGCAAAUAUAUGCUUGUUUUAAUAACCCAAGCGAUUUUACAAUGUAAUGUCAUAUUUAGAAAUUUUUGUUUUUUAUGAGAAAAAAUGUGCUUCUUGCUACGAUAAUACAGUUUUGUUUUGGCUAAUCCGAAUCUUUAUUUAACUGAUCAACUACACUAUGGAGAAGCAGAUUAAUGAUAAUAAGUUUGAAAAGGGGUUGGUCGAACCAGUUUUGUCAUUCAUUAUCUUCGACGGUGAUUGGUAUCUCUCUCAAUAACGCUAUCUUACAUUUUCUCUUUGCACCAAAACAGGAUGCGUCUUUGAUUAGAACCGCAUUCAUCAUACAAUUUCAAGAUUAUACGAUGACAUUUGAAAAACAUAAAACGACCAAGAGUUAAUUAUUCUGAGCCUAUAGUUGCAAGAUAGGAUAUAUUAUGAUGAAUGCUCUUCGACAUAUAGAUGAGAUAAGCAAUGCCAUAAAGAAAAAGAGAUUUUCUGGCUUAUAAAAUACAAAAAUACAAAAACAACUCGAGGGAUCCUUUAAAAAAAAGAAAGACGGUCUCUGUGUUAUAAGUUUUUAGUAGAGUUUUAACUUCAACACCGCAAUAAGGGAAUCAAAAUAUCUGACCUAACAAAACCUCAUCUUCCCUACACCUGCAGAGCAUCAACCUAUGGUUAUGCCUUGGACACUAGCAUCUUAUUGCUUGCAAUGCAUAACAGCAUAUAACAACGUUCCAGUGAUAACAGGAUAACAAGAGUGCAAAGAGUGAACACAUAAGAAGUUUUCUCAACUUCAAGAGUGCAAAGAGUAAACACAUAAGGAUGUGGCAACACAGAUAAAGUCAUAACACCAAAACAGAGUAAACAAAAAUACGGUAGAUAUAACAACGUUCCAAUGAAAACAGGAUAACAAGAGUGCAAAAAAGAGUAAACACAAAGAUAAACCAGUUUUCAACUAAAAAAGUAAAACAUUCAAGAGGAUUGUGGCCACAGAUAAAGUGAUAUCAUAACACCAAAACAGAGCUAACAGUAAACAAAAUACGGUAGAGAUGGAGAGAAAAAGGUGACCAUAGUGAGUCUUGUUGGCUGCUGCUUAUAGCUUGUCUUCGAAGUCAGACAAGGGAGUCAUCUGUUCCUUCAUACCCUUCCUCUUCCUGAUGUCAGUCACAAGCGUUGAAGCCUGCGAUCCUGCCUCCAAUGGGUCAGACGACAUCAUCUCCCAAUGAUCAAACACACACUGAGGGAAGGCCUGUCCUGAGGUUGCUGCUCUAAGCUGACUUGAGAAUCCAAAUGACUCAACAACUGGCAGGUACGCCUUGAUGUUGUACAGCGGUGUUCCUGGCCUCUGCAUCUCCUCAAAGACGUGUCCACGCUUCUGAUUCAGCACGCUGUAGAUUCCACCAAGAGCUCCCUCUGGUGCUUGGAUCUCCACCAUGUAAACCGGUUCCAACAAUCUGGGCUUGGCAGUGAGCUGCGAGGCGUAGAUAACUCUCCUCGCUGUUGGGAUAACCUGACCACCACCUCUGUGGAUAGCAUCGGAGUGGAGCACAACAUCGCAGACCUCAAAGCAGAUUCCUCUCAUAUUCUCAUCACAAAGAGGACCUUCCUUGGAAGCCCACUGGAACCCAGCAACAACAGAAUCCUUGAUCUCAUUCAGGUAUUGAACUCCCUUACACAUGUCAACAACCAUGUUGGGCCCUGUGGUUUCAGGUCCAAACGCCCAUAUCUUCUUCGCAAGAUCCUUGUCCCAACCAAACUCCUCAGCCAAGAUCUUGGAACGUAUCUUGGGAUCAUCUCUUGGACCAAUACGGCCUUCAUCUAUUGCCUCCGCAAGACCAUCCUCCAAGGGCCUAGCCUCCAUGUACAGACGGUUGUGCUUGUUUGGGGACUUGCUCAUCACAGUACGCACAGAUCGCUCCAAAACAGUCUCACGGAAUGAGACGACAGGGUCUGACUUGACAAUCUCAGCACCACCCAUGAAAUCAUCCUGAAGAUCCUUCAAGCAAAUCUCAAGAUGCAGUUCUCCGGCACCAGCAACAAUGUGCUCACCUGACUCCUCCAUCGUGCACACAACCAUAGGGUCAGACUUGGCCAGCCUCUUAAGUCCCUCAACAAGCUUGGGAAGAUCAGAAGCGACCUUGCACUGAACAGCAACACGUACAACAGGGGACACAGAGAACUUCAUUGCACGGAUAGGAUGAGCAUCAACUUCUUUCUCAUUCGUCAGCGUAGCAUUCUUAGUGAUGAACUGAUCAAGACCAACCAUAGCAACGGUGUUACCACAGGGAACAUCCUCAACAGUCUCUUGCCUCUUGCCCAUCCAGAUGACAGUCCUCUGAACACUCUUGACAUAAAGAUCUUUCUUCUCACCAGGAACAAAGUUGGGACCCAUGAUCCUGACCUUCAUACCGGUAGACACCUUUCCAGAGAAGACACGUCCAAAAGCAAAGAAUCUUCCCUUGUCUGAAGCGGGAAUCAUCUUAGAAACAUAGAGCAUGAGCGGACCAUUAGGAUCACAGUUUCUGAUGGCAGUGGCAUACUGAUCAUCGAGAGGACCUUCAUAUAAAUUCUCAACACGGUACCUCUGUGCAGUGUGGGGGGAUGGAAGGUGAAAGAUCAUCAUCUCAAGCAAUGCAGUGCUGGCAGGGAGCCAAGUCUGCAUGACACGCUUCAUCAAAGGUUUACCCAUAAGCUCCUUCUCAUCAGACUUCAUCUGGACACCAAGCUUCUGCAACAUAGGCCACAACUUAUCCUUCUGGUCGUUCAUGCAAGUGGCGAUGAUCUGCUUGAUGGGUUCAUAACAGAACUGCACAAACCCACGCUUGCAGGUAGCGGACCCAGUGUUCUUGCUGCUCCAUUUCCUGGUGGCAGGGUCAAAGAAGUUCUCACCCCACAGCCUCUCCAUCAUCUUAGUCUCGUCAACACCGAACUUGGAAGCAUACAUCUUGGCAAAGUUGGUCAGGGUGAAAGCCCAUCCGUGGAGACCAGCAGAGAAGGCAACAGUUCCCUUCUCAGGGUAAACCUGAACAUCACCAAGGAGAGGAUCCUCGUACGUUGCCAUGAUGACAUUGGCAUUCUCAAUGACCCUCUGGAAAGUCUGGUAAGCCUCCUCACCAUCAACCUGAAGCUCAAGGAAACACCUGUCCAUCUUGUUCACAGUAAGCACGGGCCUAAUCCUCUCACCAAGGGCCUGACGUAGCACAGUCUCGGUCUGAACACAGACACCCUCGAUACAGUCGACCACCACAAGGGCACCAUCGGUGAUACGGAGAGCAGCAGUGACCUCAGAGGAAAAGUCAACGUGGCCAGGAGAGUCGAUGAGGUUGAUAAGGUACUCGUUACCAUCUCUAGCACCAGUGAAGCUCUUCAAGGAAGCAUCAGUCAUCUCGUAGUAGAGAGAGAUACCCGUGGACUUGAUAGUGAUACCACGUUCAGCCUCAUCAGCACGAGUAUCAGUCAUACGGACAUCUCCAGCAACUU
RNAcentral lists this long non-coding RNA (5987 nucleotides) under Brassica rapa (field mustard). RNAcentral's name for it is "long non-coding RNA (BRAP_LNC006079)". Lineage: Eukaryota; Viridiplantae; Streptophyta; Magnoliopsida; Brassicales; Brassicaceae. The record is from RNAcentral.